This 528-nucleotide ribosomal RNA is filed under the name Ctenopharyngodon idella (grass carp). RNAcentral describes it as "partial small subunit ribosomal RNA". It matches the Rfam family "Bacterial small subunit ribosomal RNA", at positions 28 to 930 of the family's 1533-position model. Lineage: Eukaryota; Metazoa; Chordata; Actinopteri; Cypriniformes; Xenocyprididae. The record is from RNAcentral.
AUUAUCAGCUCUUACCCAACUUACACAUGCAAGUCUCCGCAAUCCCGUGAGUAUGCCCUCAAUCCCCCGCCCGGGGACGAGGAGCGGGCAUCAGGCACAAAUUUUAGCCCAAGACGCCUGGCCAAGCCACACCCCCAAGGGAAUUCAGCAGUGAUAAACAUUAAGCCAUAAGUGAAAACUUGACUCAGUCAGGGUUAAGAGGGCCGGUAAAACUCGUGCCAGCCACCGCGGUUAAACGAGAGGCCCCAGUUGAUAACACCACGGCGUAAAGGGUGGUUAAGGAAAGCAAAACAAUAAAGCCAAAUGGCCCUUUGGCCGUCAUACGCUUCUAGGUGUCCGAAGCCCAAUCAUACGAAAGUAGCUUUAACAAAGCCCACCUGACCCCACGAAAGCUGAGAAACAAACUGGGAUUAGAUACCCCACUAUGCUCAGCCAUAAACCUAGACAUCCAACUACAAUUAAACGUCCGCCCGGGUACUACGAGCAUUAGCUUGAAACCCAAAGGACCUGACGGUGCCUUAGACCCCU